GUGUGCCGUGCGUGCACUGCGGUUCUGAGCGCGCGCCGUUCGCACACAUCCGACCACCGCUCGCGACGCUGUGUUGGCC
RNAcentral lists this small RNA (79 nucleotides) under Xanthomonas arboricola. RNAcentral describes it as "sRNA sX9". It matches the Rfam family "Xanthomonas sRNA sX9". The record is from RNAcentral. Lineage: Bacteria; Pseudomonadati; Pseudomonadota; Gammaproteobacteria; Lysobacterales; Lysobacteraceae.